This 45-nucleotide non-coding RNA is filed under the name Schistosoma mattheei. The record is from RNAcentral. Lineage: Eukaryota; Metazoa; Platyhelminthes; Trematoda; Strigeidida; Schistosomatidae.
AUCCUGCUGACGAGUUCCAAGUGGGACGAAAUGCGCGUCCUGGAU